UUUGGGUGGCGAGUGGCGGACGGGUGAGGAAUACAUCGGAAUCUACUCUGUCGUGGGGGAUAACGUAGGGAAACUUACGCUAAUACCGCAUACGACCUACGGGUGAAAGCAGGGGACCUUCGGACCUUGCGCGAUUGAAUGAGCCGAUGUCGGAUUAGCUAGUUGGCGGGGUAAAGGCCCACCAAGGCGACRAUCCGUAGCUGGUCUGAGAGGAUGAUCASCCACACUGGAACUGAGACACGGUCCAGACUCCUACGGGAGGCASCAGUGGGGAAUAUUGGACAAUGGGCGCAAGCCUGAUCCAGCCAUACCGCGUGGGUGAARAAGGCCUUCGGGUUGUAAAGCCCUUUUGUUGGGAAAGAAAUCCAGCUGGCUAAUACCCGGUUGGGAUGACGGUACCCAAAGAAUAAGSRCCGGCUAACUUCGUGCCAGCAGCCGCGGUAAUACGAAGGGUGCAAGCGUUACUCGGAAUUACUGGGCGUAAAGCGUGCGUAGGUGGUCGYUUAAGUCCGUUGUGAAARCCCUGGGCUCAACCUGGGAACUGCAGUGGAUACUGGGCGACUAGAAUGUGGUAGAGGGUAGCGGAAUUCCUGGUGUAGCAGUGAAAUGCGUAGAGAUCAGGAGGAACAUCCAUGGCGAAGGCAGCUACCUGGACCAACAUUGACACUGAGGCACGAAAGCGUGGGGAGCAAACAGGAUUAGAUACCCUGGUAGUCCACGCCCUAAACGAUGCGAACUGGAUGUUGGGUGCAAUUUGGCACGCAGUAUCGAAGCUAACGCGUUAAG
Molecule: ribosomal RNA, 786 nt
Filed under: Stenotrophomonas maltophilia
Lineage: Bacteria; Pseudomonadati; Pseudomonadota; Gammaproteobacteria; Lysobacterales; Lysobacteraceae
Description: bacterial SSU rRNA
Rfam family: Bacterial small subunit ribosomal RNA
Source: RNAcentral